GUUUGAUCAUGGCUCAGAUUGAACGCUGGCGGCAGGCUUAACACAUGCAAGUCGAGCGGGGGAAGGUAGCUUGCUACUGGACCUAGCGGCGGACGGGUGAGUAAUGCUUAGGAAUCUGCCUAUUAGUGGGGGACAACAUCUCGAAAGGGAUGCUAAUACCGCAUACGUCCUACGGGAGAAAGCAGGGGAUCUUCGGACCUUGCGCUAAUAGAUGAGCCUAAGUCGGAUUAGCUAGUUGGUGGGGUAAAGGCCUACCAAGGCGACGAUCUGUAGCG
This 275-nucleotide ribosomal RNA is filed under the name Acinetobacter baumannii. RNAcentral describes it as "partial 16S ribosomal RNA". It matches the Rfam family "Bacterial small subunit ribosomal RNA", at positions 11 to 288 of the family's 1533-position model. The record is from RNAcentral. Lineage: Bacteria; Pseudomonadati; Pseudomonadota; Gammaproteobacteria; Moraxellales; Moraxellaceae.